RNAcentral lists this ribosomal RNA (820 nucleotides) under uncultured Dictyoglomota bacterium. Its description in RNAcentral is "bacterial SSU rRNA". It matches the Rfam family "Bacterial small subunit ribosomal RNA", at positions 60 to 856 of the family's 1533-position model. Lineage: Bacteria; Pseudomonadati; Dictyoglomota. The record is from RNAcentral.
AGUCGAACGCGAAAGUUCCCUUCGGGGAGCAAGUAGAGUGGCGCACGGGUGAGUAACACGUAGGUAAUCUACCUUUGGAUUGGGAAUAACAACCGGAAACGGUUGCUAAUACCGAAUAAUGCAGCGGCACCUAAUGGUGACAGUUGUUAAAGCGGGGGAUCGCAAGACCUCGCGUCUGAAGAGGAGCCUGCGGCAGAUUAGCUAGUUGGUAGGGUAACGGCUUACCAAGGCUAUGAUCUGUAGCCGGCCUGAGAGGGCGGUCGGCCACACUGACACUGACAUACGGGUCAGACUCCUACGGGAGGCAGCAGUCGGGAAUUUUGGGCAAUGGGCGAAAGCCUGACCCAGCAACGCCGCGUGAAGGAUGAAAUCCUUCGGGAUGUAAACUUCGCAAGAACGGGAAGAAUAAGCCGGUGCAAAUAUCACCGGCGAUGACGGUACUGUUUGUAAGCUCCGGCUAACUCCGUGCCAGCAGCCGCGGUAAUACGGGGGGAGCAAGCGUUGUUCGGAUUUACUGGGCGUAAAGGGCGCGUAGGCGGCCACCGCAAGUCAGUUGUGAAAUCUCUGGGCUUAACCCAGAAAGGUCAACUGAUACUGCGGGGCUAGAGUGCAGAAGGGGCAACUGGAAUUCUCGGUGUAGCGGUGAAAUGCGUAGAUAUCGAGAGGAACACCUGCGGCGAAGGCGGGUUGCUGGGCUGACACUGACGCUGAGGCGCGAAAGCUAGGGGAGCGAACGGGAUUAGAUACCCCGGUAGUCCUAGCCUUAAACGAUGAAUGCUUGGUGUCUGGGGUUUUAUAGUCCCCGGGUGCCGUCGCUAAC